RNAcentral lists this ribosomal RNA (458 nucleotides) under uncultured bacterium. Its description in RNAcentral is "bacterial SSU rRNA". It matches the Rfam family "Bacterial small subunit ribosomal RNA", at positions 340 to 786 of the family's 1533-position model. The record is from RNAcentral.
UACGGGAGGCAGCAGUGGGGAAUAUUGGACAAUGGGCGAAAGCCUGAUCCAGCUAUGCCGCGUGUAUGAAGAAGGCCUUAGGGUUGUAAAGUACUUUCAUCGGGGAGGAAAAAACAAAACUAAUAAUUUUAUUUCUUGACGUUACCCGAAAAAGAAGCACCGGCUAACUCCGUGCCAGCAGCCGCGGUAAUACGGAGGGUGCUAGCGUUAAUCAGAAUUACUGGGCGUAAAGAGCACGUAGGUGGUUUUUUUAAAGUCAGAUGUGAAAUCCCUGGGCUUAACCUAGGAACUGCAUUUUGAAACUGAAAUACUAGAGUAUCGUAGAGGGAGGUAGAAUUCUAGGUGUAGCGGUGAAAUGCGUAGAUAUCUGGAGGAAUACCUGUGGCGAAAGCGGCCUCCUAAACGAAUACUGACACUGAGGGUGCGAAAGCGUGGGGAGCAAACAGGGAUUAGAUACC